AUGCGACUGUGGAUCGAGCCCAUGUGAAGCCUCUUCGAUGAGUCGAGUUGUUUGGGAAUGCAGCUCAAAAUGGGUGGUAAAUUUCAUCUAAAGCUAAAUACUGGCUGGAGACCGAUAGCGCACAAGUAGAGUGAUCGAAAGAUGAAAAGCACUUUGGAAAGAGAGUUAAAAAGUACGUGAAAUUGUUGAAAGGGAAGCGCUUGCAACCAGACCUGUCCGUAGGUGAUCAGCCGCUGUUCUCAGUGGUGCACUCGCUCUGCGAUCAGGCCAGCAUCGGUUCGGGCGGUCGGAUAAAGGCCUUGGGAAUGUAGCUUCCUUCGGGGAGUCUUAUAGCCCUCGGUGCAAUGCGGCCAGCCGGGACCGAGGACCGCGCUUCGGCUAGGAUGCUGGCGUAAUGGUUGUAAGCGACCCGUCUUGAAACACGGACCAAGGAGUCUAACAUCUAUGCGAGUGUUUGGGUGUUAAACCCAUGCGCGGAAUGAAAGUGAACGGAGGUGAGAACCCUUAAGGGCGCAUCAUCGACCGAUCCAGAUGUCUUCGGAUGGAUUUGAGUAUGAGCAUAGCUGUUGGGACCCGAAAGAUGGUGA
RNAcentral lists this ribosomal RNA (587 nucleotides) under Hypogymnia bulbosa. Its description in RNAcentral is "partial 28S large subunit ribosomal RNA". It matches the Rfam family "Eukaryotic large subunit ribosomal RNA", at positions 223 to 829 of the family's 3401-position model. The record is from RNAcentral. Lineage: Eukaryota; Fungi; Ascomycota; Lecanoromycetes; Lecanorales; Parmeliaceae.